GACGAGGGAUCCUAGCGUUGUUCGGAAUCAUUGGGCGUAAAGCGGGUGUAGGUGGCUUGGUAAGUCAGGUGUGAAAGCCCAGGGCUUAACCCUGGAAGUGCAUUUGAAACUGCCGAGCUUGAGUGUGGGAGAGGAUAGUGGAAUUCCUGGUGUAGUGGUGAAAUACGUAGAUAUCAGGAGGAACAUCGGUGGCGAAGGCGGCUAUCUGGCCCAACACUGACACUCAGACCCGAAAGCGUGGGGAGCAAACAGG
This 253-nucleotide ribosomal RNA is filed under the name uncultured bacterium. RNAcentral describes it as "partial 16S ribosomal RNA". It matches the Rfam family "Bacterial small subunit ribosomal RNA", at positions 524 to 776 of the family's 1533-position model. The record is from RNAcentral.